AAGGCUUUAAGUUAAAUAAACUAAUAGCCUUCAAAGCUAUAAAUAUAAGUAAAAGUCUUUUAAGCCUUA
RNAcentral lists this transfer RNA (69 nucleotides) under Ptecticus aurifer. RNAcentral's name for it is "tRNA-Trp". It matches the Rfam family "tRNA". From Rfam's summary of the family: Transfer RNA (tRNA) molecules are approximately 80 nucleotides in length. Lineage: Eukaryota; Metazoa; Arthropoda; Insecta; Diptera; Stratiomyidae. The record is from RNAcentral.